AAAUUGAAGAGUUUGAUCAUGGCUCAGAUUGAACGCUGGCGGCAGGCCUAACACAUGCAAGUCGAACGGUAACAGGAAUCAGCUUGCUGUUUUGCUGACGAGUGGCGGACGGGUGAGUAAUGUCUGGGAAACUGCCUGAUGGAGGGGGAUAACUACUGGAAACGGUAGCUAAUACCGCAUAACGUCGCAAGACCAAAGAGGGGGACCUUCGGGCCUCUUGCCAUCGGAUGUGCCCAGAUGGGAUUAGCUAGUAGGUGGGGUAAAGGCUCACCUAGGCGACGAUCCCUAGCUGGUCUGAGAGGAUGACCAGCCACACUGGAACUGAGACACGGUCCAGACUCCUACGGGAGGCAGCAUGUGGGGAAUAUUGCACAAUGGGCUGCAAGCCUGAUGCAGCCAUGCCGGGUGUAUGAAGAAGGCCUUCGGGUUUGUAAAGUACUUUCAGCGGGGAGGAAGGGAGUAAAGUUAAUACCUUUGCUCAUUGACGUUACCCGCAGAAGAAGCACCGGCUAACUCCGUGCCAGCAGCCGCGGUAAUACGGAGGGUGCAAGCCGUUAAUCGGAAUUACCUGGGCGUAAAGCGCACGCAGGCUGGUUUGUUAAGUCAGAUGUGAAAUCCCCGGGCUCAACCUGGGAACUGGUUCUGAUACCUGGCAAGCUUGAGUCUCGUAGAGGGGGGUAGAAUUCCAGGUGUAGCGGUGAAAUGCGUAGAGAUCUGGAGGAAUACCGGUGGCGAAGGCGGCCCCCUGGACUAAGACUUGACGCUCAGGUGCGAAAGCGUGGGGGAGCAAACAGGAUUAAGAUACCCUGGUAGUCCACGCCGUAAACCGAUGUCGACUUGGAGGUUGUGCCCUUGAGGCGUUGCUUCCGGAGCUAACGCGUUAAGUCGACCGCCUGGGGAGUACGGCCGCAAGGUUAAAACUCAAAUGAAUUGACGGGGGCCCGCACAAGCGGUGGAGCAUGUGGUUUAAUUCGAUGCAACGCGAAGAACCUUACCUGGUCUUGACAUCCACGGAAGUUUUCAGAGAUGAGAAUGUGCCUUCGGGAACCGUGAGACAGGUGCUGCAUGGCUGUCGUCAGCUCGUGUUGUGAAAUGUUGGGUUAAGUCCCGCAACGAGCGCAACCCUUAUCCUUUGUUGCCAGCGGUCCGGCCGGGAACUCAAAGGAGACUGCCAGUGAUAAACUGGAGGAAGGUGGGGAUGACGUCAAGUCAUCAUGGCCCUUACGACCAGGGCUACACACGUGCUACAAUGGCGCAUACAAAGAGAAGCGACCUCGCGAGAGCAAGCGGACCUCAUAAAGUGCGUCGUAGUCGGAUUGGAGUCUGCAACUCGACUCCAUGAAGUCGGAAUCGCUAGUAAUCGUGGAUCAGAAUGCCACGGUGAAUACUUUCCCGGGCCUUGUACACACCGCCGUCACACCAUGGGAGUGGGUUGCAAAAGAAGUAGGUAGCUUAACCUUCGGGAGGGCGCUUACCACUUUGUGAUUCAUGACUGGGGUGAAGUCGUAACAAGGUAACCGUAGGGGAACCUGCGGUUGGAUCACCUCCUUA
Molecule: ribosomal RNA, 1551 nt
Filed under: Escherichia coli ABU 83972
Lineage: Bacteria; Pseudomonadati; Pseudomonadota; Gammaproteobacteria; Enterobacterales; Enterobacteriaceae
Description: bacterial SSU rRNA
Rfam family: Bacterial small subunit ribosomal RNA
Source: RNAcentral